AUAACAGUAGUAUAAAAAGUAUUUUUGUUUUCCAAACAAAAGGUUCUGUUUGGAUUGUUAUA
RNAcentral lists this transfer RNA (62 nucleotides) under Cyclina sinensis. RNAcentral describes it as "tRNA-Gly". Lineage: Eukaryota; Metazoa; Mollusca; Bivalvia; Venerida; Veneridae. The record is from RNAcentral.